AAUUAUAUUCCAUAUAUUCUAGUUGGAUUGUACUAUUUAUGUAGUUUGCAUAUGGAAUGAAAAAUAGUGAAGUUUAAUGAAAUUAGUACAAUAGUGAUAAUGUAAUAUUGUACAGUAUCUUGUGUUGUGCUAUUGCCGUGACAAUUUGGUGGUUUUAUUGAUCAUGAGUUCCCUUCCCACCAUCGACGAGCUUUCCUCCCCUCCAUUAAUUCAUGCAAAGACAACAAUCUUUUAAGUCCACCAUAUCCACCAACAUUC
Molecule: long non-coding RNA, 258 nt
Filed under: Lathyrus oleraceus (garden pea)
Lineage: Eukaryota; Viridiplantae; Streptophyta; Magnoliopsida; Fabales; Fabaceae
Description: Pisum sativum (pea) long non-coding RNA (PSAT_LNC001164)
Source: RNAcentral